UGCGCAGGUGGUUUGGCAAGUUUGAUGUGAAAGCCCCGGGCUUAACCCGGGAAUGGCAUUGAAUACUGCUGAACUGGAGGAUUGGAGGGGGGACUGGAAUUCUUGGUGUAGCAGUGAAAUGCGUAGAUAUCAAGAGGAACACCAGUGGCGAAGGCGAGUCCCUGGACAAUACCUGACACUGAGGCACGAAAGCUGGGGGAGCAAACA
This 207-nucleotide ribosomal RNA is filed under the name uncultured bacterium. RNAcentral describes it as "partial 16S ribosomal RNA". It matches the Rfam family "Bacterial small subunit ribosomal RNA", at positions 568 to 774 of the family's 1533-position model. The record is from RNAcentral.